GUUGUGGCUCAGCGGUAGAGUGCUUGCAUAGCACUUGUGAGGCCCAGGGUUCGAUCCUCAGCACAACA
Molecule: transfer RNA, 68 nt
Filed under: Marmota monax (woodchuck)
Lineage: Eukaryota; Metazoa; Chordata; Mammalia; Rodentia; Sciuridae
Description: tRNA.Ala
Source: RNAcentral